This 255-nucleotide long non-coding RNA is filed under the name Elaeis guineensis (African oil palm). Its description in RNAcentral is "long non-coding RNA (EGUI_LNC061054)". Lineage: Eukaryota; Viridiplantae; Streptophyta; Magnoliopsida; Arecales; Arecaceae. The record is from RNAcentral.
CUAUUCCUCUUGAGACAAUCUAUCACUUUCUGAGCACGCAUCGUAUCCUCAAAUCAUGAUGUGUCUCUUAGAGUAUAGAUUGUUCAAAUUCUAGAUCUUAUAAAUGAAGCAUAAAAGAACAGUGUACUUUUUAGUUUCUAAAUAAAUCAAAAAUUUUAUUGAUAAAUGAAAAGAGUUACAUGAGAUAGAUCAAUAAUAAACCAUCUAUUUACAAAGUUCAUCUUUUCAUGAGAUGAUGGAGCCUAGCCACGCAUG